This 277-nucleotide ribosomal RNA is filed under the name uncultured bacterium. RNAcentral's name for it is "partial 16S ribosomal RNA". It matches the Rfam family "Bacterial small subunit ribosomal RNA", at positions 15 to 291 of the family's 1533-position model. The record is from RNAcentral.
GAUCCUGGCUCAGGAUGAACGCUGGCGGCGCGCCUAACACAUGCAAGUCGAACGAGUAAGACGCCUUCGGGCGUGGAUAGAGUGGCGAACGGGUGAGUAACACGUGACCAACCUGCCCCCUCCUCCGGGACAACCUCGGGAAACCGAGGCUAAUACCGGAUACUCCGGGCCCCCCGCAUGGGGGGCCCGGGAAAGCCCUGGCGGGAGGGGAUGGGGUCGCGGCCCAUCAGGUAGACGGCGGGGUAACGGCCCACCGUGCCUACUACGGGUAGCCGGG